UUGAACGCUGGCGGCAUGCUUUACACAUGCAAGUCGAACGGCAGCGAGGAGAAGCUUGCUUCUCUGUCGGCGAGUGGCGAACGGGUGAGUAUAGCAUCGGAACGUGCCAAGUAGUGGGGGAUAACCAAACGAAAGUUUGGCUAAUACCGCGUAAGCUCUAAGGAGGAAAGUAGGGGACCUAAAUAAGGCCUUACGCUAUUUUAUCGGCCGAUGUCGGAUUAGCUAGUUGGUGGGGUAAUGGCUCACCAAGGCAAUGAUCCGUAGCGGGUCUGAGAGGACGAUCCGCCACACUGGGACUGAGACACGGCCCAGACUCCUACGGGAGGCGGCAGUGGGGAAUUUUGGACAAUGGGGGAAACCCUGAUCCAGCCAUGCCGCGUGUAUGAAGAAGGCCUUAGGGUUGUAAAGUACUUUUGUUAGGGAAGAAAAGCUAGUUUUUAAUAAAAAUUAGUGAUGACGGUACCUAAAGAAUAAGCACCGGCUAACUACGUG
RNAcentral lists this ribosomal RNA (492 nucleotides) under uncultured bacterium. Its description in RNAcentral is "partial 16S ribosomal RNA". It matches the Rfam family "Bacterial small subunit ribosomal RNA", at positions 30 to 507 of the family's 1533-position model. The record is from RNAcentral.